UGCUGGUGAGUUAUUCCAAGCUUGCCACAUGGUGGCGCUCUCCACAACUCAUGAGGGCGCUCUUCAUUGUUACCACAGAUUCAUGGUCCUUAUUGAUGACACAUGUCUGUGUCCUAAAUUUUUGACUCGUAUUUUGACUCAGUAUAAUUCGAUCAUCCUUCCACCCCAGGACCCGAGGACAGAGUUUUUACGUGAACUCUGCAAUCGCCACAGUCAUUUUUGGUAAUAAAUAAGCCAGGAAUAUACA
Molecule: long non-coding RNA, 247 nt
Organism: Patiria miniata (bat star)
Lineage: Eukaryota; Metazoa; Echinodermata; Asteroidea; Valvatida; Asterinidae
Exons: 2
Source: RefSeq, a predicted model, not a curated record